CCUGCAUAUUUCAGGAAAGUGGCUUCUAAGUGACGAGUCUGAAUUACGUUGAUUUCUCAUAGUCUGAGGUUGGAGGAAAACCAUGACCAUUACUUCUUACGCUGUUUUCAAGAGAUGAAAAGAAAAAAACGAAUGAAAAUUUCAGUUUUUAGAGUAAUAAUAGCAAGAACUUUGGAGAUAAUAUCAAUAUAAAUUACUUUACUUAUGCCUGAAAGUAUUCUGAUGGAAUUCUUCGUGUUUAAUCAUGAAGGAUCGUAUUAUGAAUGGAAAAAUAGGCAGAAUCUCCUGUAACUGAUAUUAGUGCAGCGCAUUCUGCAAUGACCUCAUUCGAGGUCAUUUAAUUGAACAACGGCUUAAUACCACUCAUCUGUGCAGUAAAUAUCAUUUCGGUUCUAGCCGCAAAUUCUAAAUAUGGGAGAUGUCUGGAAUGGUGGAAAAAAUAGUACUCAAGUGAUAUCGGUAUUCAUAGGUCAGACAACUUACGACCAUUAUUCAUUCAUUUUUCUUGGAUAAGUGUGCUGUCACCAUCAGAAAUACGGCUUUCUCGGCUCCAUAUACAAGCCACCAAUUUCCUUAAGAUAAUUUGCAGUGUCAAAUUCACAGGACGUCCUACAUGUUUGUACCCAAGUGAUCACGGCAAAAGAUGCUAUUUGGAGCCUUCAACCUUGAAAUUCGG
Molecule: long non-coding RNA, 676 nt
Organism: Argiope bruennichi
Lineage: Eukaryota; Metazoa; Arthropoda; Arachnida; Araneae; Araneidae
Exons: 3
Source: RefSeq, a predicted model, not a curated record